This 234-nucleotide ribosomal RNA is filed under the name uncultured Bifidobacteriales bacterium. RNAcentral describes it as "partial 16S ribosomal RNA". It matches the Rfam family "Bacterial small subunit ribosomal RNA", at positions 99 to 334 of the family's 1533-position model. The record is from RNAcentral. Lineage: Bacteria; Bacillati; Actinomycetota; Actinomycetes; Bifidobacteriales.
CGAACGGGUGAGUAAUGCGUGACCGACCUGCCCCAUGCUCCGGAAUAGCUCCUGGAAACGGGUGGUAAUGCCGGAUGUUCCACAUGAUCGCAUGUGAUUGUGGGAAAGAUUUCAUCGGCGUGGGAUGGGGUCGCGUCCUAUCAGCUUGUUGGUGAGGUAACGGCUUACCAAGGCUUCGACGGGUAGCCGGCCUGAGAGGGCGACCGGCCACAUUGGGACUGAGACACGGCCCAG